GUGUGUGAUCCUACCGCACCCUGUCAAAAGUUGACUUGAGGGGUCCGCGGGGAAGGGGAUCUCCUUUACCACACAAUUUCCGAAAGGGAACAUGCUGGCAACACAGCACAAAGCCUGGUUGAACCCUCCUCUGCUCAGGAGCUGCUGAGUUCAUGUCUUAAGCUUCUCCAGUUCUUUCGAACGGUACAAAACAGAGAGCUUUGGGCAAAGCACUUUUGAGUGCCCCAGUUGGCUACAGCAAGACCCCAGAGCACGUAGGAGGAGGGGUACACCCAGUGGGACAUGGAACACCCCUCAUUUGAGGGAUGUUCCCAUGAAAUCUUCAGAGCUUGAAAAUUACAGGCCGGCUGGGUCACUCGAGACCAGUUGUUUUGCUCCCUUUUAGUUUAGCUUUCCCUUUAAGGAGGCAGAUCUGGCCAUUGUUUUCAAUAUCGUGUUGUUUUUAUUUUCAGAGUCUGCUUUAUUGGAUCAGGGCAAAGUCAAACAGGGUCCACCCUGCCUGGCAAAGCCACCUGCCAUGUGCCUUUCUAGGGUGUUGUCUCCAGCCAGCAGGAGGCCUGCCUUUCUCCCACCAUCCCAUUACACAGCUACACUAAAUCCUGGCUGCCUGAAUUGUUUUCUGCUGGGCAGCUAUUAUUACACCACCAAGGAAGACAAGAAAGGAAAAAUGGACGAAAAGAAAAGAACCCAGAAGUUCCUUCUAAAGGCAGUGGGUUUUUCAUUGUAGUGGUCUCUUCAUCUGAUUGGCUAGAUCUGCUUUCCUAAACAACAAUCAUUGCUAUGUCUUCAUUCCUUGGUUGAAAACCCUGAAAGAGAGGAAGAGGUAAGUUUCUCACAAAACAAAUCGGCAAAUGUGCCUGCGCAUUUUGCCUCAUAUCUUGUGUUCUACAAGGACUAAAAUCUUCCUGCUUGCCUGCUUUGGAAUACAGAGCACUAGCAGCUCUCCUGGCAAACACCCUUGGUACCACAAGUUGUCAGUUCCCAACAUUUCUUUGGAGGGGAAGCCAUUACAGUUAAACUGAAAUUGCAGCUACACUUCAGGGUGGUUUGUGGGCCUUCAUGACUUGAGAUAGAAGGGAAGGCGAAUCUGACAAUGGUUUGGAAUCUUAUUAACAUUAACGGAAUCUUCAGAACAGGUGGGCAGAGGCAGUUCUGCCACCCUCAAACAUAGCAAAAUUUUACAUUUCUUGUUGUCACCUGCUCCUAAACCCUAAAUAGUGUGUGAAAGAGGACAGGAUUCUUGGAAGUGUGAGGUCAACCAGCUGUACGCUUGACCCUUGCCCUUCCUGGCUUAUUAAGUAGUCAGAGUAUCAUGUGUCAAGUGCAUUGUAGUCAGAAACAGUCUGUCUGGGUGGGUGAGGAUAGUGGUCAGUGAAUGCGUCAGUGGGACCUGAUAACACAAGUGCCGUGGGUCCGAGCAAGAAUUCCCCAAAGCUACCUUCUGUAUGGACCCUGAAAAUGGAAGCAAAACUAUCACAUCACCAUGCUCCUAAGUCACAGUGGAGUUAAAGCUGGGUUUGAAACUGAUUGUAUUUCUCUCUUUCUCUCUCUCUCUCUCUCUCUGUAUAGUUCACAUGACAUCCUCCUCAUCUAAGUGGCAGCCCACACUUUCCCCAGCCUAAAUUCAGAUUUUACCAAUCAGUGCAUAAUCUGAUAUGGGAAGAAACUCCAAUAUAAAAUUGCAUGUUGCUGUGGACGUACAGACGCCCAAUGUACGGGUGGUGGUCGUUUCUUUAAUAGUGUGAGGACAUUUCACUGGGUUCUGUCUGUCACCAGACCACCUGCUUCCAUUUUGUUCCCACCAGCACAAAGGAAAAGAUAAAGCCUGAUUUUUCUUGCUGGUUCUUGAAUAUACAGGCAAACCCCCCCCCCAUUUGCACGAUUUCAAUAUGCAUGUGACUCUGCGCACGUGCAUCGUGCUGAACCCAGAAGUGACCCAAAAGUAUCACAAAAAGGGUCACAAUGGGGCAGAGGCGGAACAGAGUGUUUGCAGGCUUUUUCAAUAGCGUUUCAAAUAUAUGCGAUUUCACUGAUACAUGUGGUGCCUUGGAACGUAACCCCCACAUAAAUGGGGGGUCGCAUAUGUGUGUGUGUUUAAUUUUAAUAAAAUUAUUGUCUCCCCCC
This is a long non-coding RNA of Podarcis raffonei (Aeolian wall lizard), 2124 nucleotides long. RefSeq lists it as uncharacterized. Lineage: Eukaryota; Metazoa; Chordata; Lepidosauria; Squamata; Lacertidae. The record is from RefSeq and is a predicted model, not a curated record. The transcript is spliced from 2 exons.